Molecule: unclassified non-coding RNA, 87 nt
Filed under: Pseudomonas fluorescens
Lineage: Bacteria; Pseudomonadati; Pseudomonadota; Gammaproteobacteria; Pseudomonadales; Pseudomonadaceae
Source: RNAcentral
UGUAGGCGCUGGCUUGCCUGCGAUGCAGACAGCUCGGUGUUUCAGUGCGACCGGGUUGAUGCUAUCGCAGGCAAGCCAGCUCCCACA